GUGCCAGUCGAACGAUGAACCUCACUUGUGGGGGGAUUAGUGGCGAACGGGUGAGUAACACGUGAGUAACCUGCCCUUGACUCUGGGAUAAGCCUGGGAAACCGGGUCUAAUACUGGAUACGACCUUCUGGCGCAUGCCAUGUUGGUGGAAAGCUUUUGUGGUUUUGGAUGGACUCGCGGCCUAUCAGCUUGUUGGUGGGGUAAUGGCCUACCAAGGCGACGACGGGUAGCCGGCCUGAGAGGGUGACCGGCCACACUGGGACUGAGACACGGCCCAGACUCCUACGGGAGGCAGCAGUGGGGAAUAUUGCACAAUGGGCGCAAGCCUGAUGCAGCGACGCCGCGUGAGGGAUGAAGGCCUUCGGGUUGUAAACCUCUUUCACUACGCC
This 389-nucleotide ribosomal RNA is filed under the name Arthrobacter agilis. RNAcentral describes it as "bacterial SSU rRNA". It matches the Rfam family "Bacterial small subunit ribosomal RNA", at positions 55 to 445 of the family's 1533-position model. The record is from RNAcentral. Lineage: Bacteria; Bacillati; Actinomycetota; Actinomycetes; Micrococcales; Micrococcaceae.